UUCUGAAAGAGAUUGAUUAUAUAAAAAAGAAGAUGUGGUAUGAUUGCCAAUGAGACAACUAUCCACAAAAGACCAAAAUAACACAGACAUUAGCAGCUAUAGGUCACCGUACGGCCUUCAACAAUAAGCAAAGCCCAUACCGCAUAGUGAGCUAUAAAAGGCCCCGAUAAGACAAUGUAAAACAAUUCAAACGAGAAAACUAACGGCCUUAUUUAUGUAAACAAAAUGAACGAAAAACAAAUAUGUAACACAUAAACAAACGACAACCACUGAAUUACAGGCUCCUGACUUGGGACAGGCACAUACAUAAAUAAUGUGGCGGGGUUAAACAUGUUAGUGGGAUCCCAACCCUCUCCUAACCUGGGACAGUGGUAUAACAGUACAACAUAAGAACGAACUAUAAAAAUCAGUUGAAAAAGGC
RNAcentral lists this long non-coding RNA (421 nucleotides) under Mytilus galloprovincialis (Mediterranean mussel). The record is from RNAcentral. Lineage: Eukaryota; Metazoa; Mollusca; Bivalvia; Mytilida; Mytilidae.